This 68-nucleotide transfer RNA is filed under the name Polyangiaceae bacterium LLY-WYZ-15_(1-7). Its description in RNAcentral is "tRNA-OTHER". It matches the Rfam family "tRNA". Rfam says of the family: Transfer RNA (tRNA) molecules are approximately 80 nucleotides in length. Their secondary structure includes four short double-helical elements and three loops (D, anti-codon, and T loops). Further hydrogen bonds mediate the characteristic L-shaped molecular structure. tRNAs have two regions of fundamental functional importance: the anti-codon, which is responsible for specific mRNA codon recognition, and the 3' end, to which the tRNAs corresponding amino acid is attached (by aminoacyl-tRNA synthetases). tRNAs cope with the degeneracy of the genetic code in two manners: having more than one tRNA (with a specific anti-codon) for a particular amino acid; and 'wobble' base-pairing, i.e. permitting non-standard base-pairing at the 3rd anti-codon position. Lineage: Bacteria; Pseudomonadati; Myxococcota; Polyangiales; Polyangiaceae. The record is from RNAcentral.
GUGCCGGUGUUCUGGGAACGCCGCCGGCUGCAACCCGGCGAAGGUGGGUUCGACUCCCACUCGGCACU